This 373-nucleotide ribosomal RNA is filed under the name uncultured Bacteroidota bacterium. RNAcentral's name for it is "bacterial SSU rRNA". It matches the Rfam family "Bacterial small subunit ribosomal RNA", at positions 521 to 896 of the family's 1533-position model. The record is from RNAcentral. Lineage: Bacteria; Pseudomonadati; Bacteroidota.
UAAUACGGAGGGUCCGAGCGUUGUCCGGAAUUAUUGGGUUUAAAGGGUACGUAGGCGGAAUACUAAGUCAGAGGUGAAAUCCUGCAGCUCAACUGUAGAACUGCCUUUGAAACUGUUAUUCUUGAGUAUGGUAGGGGUAAGCGGAAUUUAUAAUGUAGCGGUGAAAUGCAUAGAUAUUAUAAAGAACACCGAUAGCGAAGGCAGCUUACUGGACCAUAACUGACGCUAAUGUACGAAAGCGUGGGUAGCGAACAGGAUUAGAUACCCUGGUAGUCCACGCCGUAAACGAUGCUCACUCGCUGUUGGCGAUAGACAGUCAGCGGCCAAGCGAAAGCGUUAAGUGAGCCACCUGGGGAGUACGAUCGCAAGGUUG